This is a long non-coding RNA of Peromyscus eremicus (cactus mouse), 741 nucleotides long. RefSeq lists it as uncharacterized. The record is from RefSeq and is a predicted model, not a curated record. NCBI's taxonomy places the organism in Eukaryota, Metazoa, Chordata, Mammalia, Rodentia, Cricetidae. The transcript has 2 exons.
GGCAAGGUCCCUCACUUGGUGUAGGAAGUCAUACUGCCUGGGAUUCUAGAGGAAAAUCCCUGGGCCUUAUGUUGUUGUAGGAGAUCAUGCAAGUCAGGCCCCAGGACAAAGUUCAUGGGUAUCUUAUGUGGCCCUAAAGGGAAGUCAGAAUCUUUCAUCUGGUUCUGGAGUUUCUGGAACAUCAGAGGUAGCCUAAGCCUAGAACUCAGAGUCCCUCCCUUUCUGAAGGAGUCCUAGUACUUAAUUCUCAUACUAUUGUAACUUAUUCUAAAAUUGUGAAUGUAUGUAAAAUAUGCAAUCAGCCAUAGUUGCCCUUUUUAGUUGAAUGGAUGGUUCAAAUCUUGGGUGACAUUGUUUUAAUUUUCAGUUUAAAAACUCCUUAAUUUACAUAAUCUCUUACAGAUUGAUGCUAUAAGAGCAUGCUUUUGUGCAUGUUUCACCAAAAAACGGAGCUCUUCUUCCCACUACAAGAAAUAGAAGAGAAAACAUAAAAAAGUGAUGAACUUGGACAAGCCUACGACAAUUGCCUGACAACUUCUCCGACCAUCCACAAUAAGACAACUCAGGAGAAAAUCUGUCUCUUCUCCAAUAAUUGCUUCAAAAAAAGCACAUUUUUAUUUUAUGUUUUAGAAUAAUAUAGUAUUAUAUUACAUAAUCUUCAGUGUUAUUUUCACCUAUUUAUUUUGUUUUAUUAUGUUAUACUAUAUUACACUAUUAUAUUAUCUUGUUUUUAUUUCCAUA